AGAGUUUGAUCCUGGCUCAGGAUAAACGCUGGCGGCGUGCCUAACACAUGCAAGUCGAACGCGCUGCGCAAGCAGCGAGUGGCGGACGGGUGAGGAACACGUGGGUUAUCUACCUUGAGGUGAGGAAUACCGGCGAGAAAUCGCCGACAAUACCGCAUAGGUUUGCUAAGCAAACAAAGUCGCAAGACGCCACAAGAUGA
Molecule: ribosomal RNA, 200 nt
Filed under: uncultured bacterium
Lineage: Bacteria
Description: partial 16S ribosomal RNA
Rfam family: Bacterial small subunit ribosomal RNA
Source: RNAcentral